Molecule: ribosomal RNA, 1484 nt
Filed under: uncultured Actinomycetes bacterium
Lineage: Bacteria; Bacillati; Actinomycetota; Actinomycetes
Description: uncultured actinobacterium 16S ribosomal RNA
Rfam family: Bacterial small subunit ribosomal RNA
Source: RNAcentral
AGUUUGAUCCUGGCUCAGGAUGAACGCUGGCGGUAUGCUUAACACAUGCAAGUCGAACGGAAAGGCCCUGCUUUUGUGGGGUGCUCGAGUGGCGAACGGGUGAGUAACACGUGAGUAACCUGCCCUUGACUUUGGGAUAACUUCAGGAAACUGGGGCUAAUACCGGAUAGGAGCUCCUGCUGCAUGGUGGGGGUUGGAAAGUUUCGGCGGUUGGGGAUGGACUCGCGGCUUAUCAGCUUGUUGGUGGGGUAGUGGCUUACCAAGGCUUUGACGGGUAGCCGGCCUGAGAGGGUGACCGGCCACAUUGGGACUGAGAUACGGCCCAGACUCCUACGGGAGGCAGCAGUGGGGAAUAUUGCACAAUGGGCGGAAGCCUGAUGCAGCAACGCCGCGUGCGGGAUGACGGCCUUCGGGUUGUAAACCGCUUUCGCCUGUGACGAAGCGUGAGUGACGGUAAUGGGUAAAGAAGCACCGGCUAACUACGUGCCAGCAGCCGCGGUGAUACGUAGGGUGCGAGCGUUGUCCGGAUUUAUUGGGCGUAAAGGGCUCGUAGGUGGUUGAUCGCGUCGGAAGUGUAAUCUUGGGGCUUAACCCUGAGCGUGCUUUCGAUACGGGUUGACUUGAGGAAGGUAGGGGAGAAUGGAAUUCCUGGUGGAGCGGUGGAAUGCGCAGAUAUCAGGAGGAACACCAGUGGCGAAGGCGGUUCUCUGGGCCUUUCCUGACGCUGAGGAGCGAAAGCGUGGGGAGCGAACAGGCUUAGAUACCCUGGUAGUCCACGCUGUAAACGGUGGGUACUAGGUGUGGGGUCCAUUCCACGGGUUCCGUGCCGUAGCUAACGCUUUAAGUACCCCGCCUGGGGAGUACGGCCGCAAGGCUAAAACUCAAAGGAAUUGACGGGGCCCCGCACAAGCGGCGGAGCAUGCGGAUUAAUUCGAUGCAACGCGUAGAACCUUACCUGGGUUUGACAUGGAUCGGGAGUGCUCAGAGAUGGGUGUGCCUCUUUUGGGGUCGGUUCACAGGUGGUGCAUGGCUGUCGUCAGCUCGUGUCGUGAGAUGUUGGGUUAAGUCCCGCAACGAGCGCAACCCUUGUUCACUGUUGCCAGCACGUUAUGGUGGGGACUCAGUGGAGACCGCCGGGGUCAACUCGGAGGAAGGUGGGGAUGACGUCAAGUCAUCAUGCCCCUUAUGUCCAGGGCUUCACGCAUGCUACAAUGGCUGGUACAGAGAGUGGCGAGCCUGUGAGGGUGAGCGAAUCUCGGAAAGCCGGUCUCAGUUCGGAUUGGGGUCUGCAACUCGACCUCAUGAAGUCGGAGUCGCUAGUAAUCGCAGAUCAGCAACGCUGCGGUGAAUACGUUCCCGGGGCUUGUACACACCGCCCGUCAAGUCAUGAAAGUUGGUAACACCCGAAGCCGGUGGCCUAACCGUUGUGGGGGAGCCGUCGAAGGUGGGACUGGUGAUUAGGACUAAGUCGUAACAAGGUAGCC